This 318-nucleotide unclassified non-coding RNA is filed under the name Hevea brasiliensis (rubber tree). Lineage: Eukaryota; Viridiplantae; Streptophyta; Magnoliopsida; Malpighiales; Euphorbiaceae. The record is from RNAcentral.
GGUUCUUUAGUUCCAUUAGUGUGAGGCAGCAAUGAUGAGUUUGGUUUAUAAUUGUCAGUUGUAACUGUUAUCUUCAGACGACUAAAUUAUAGUUUGGCUACAAUUCCAUCAGUUGGAAUUUGCUGAAACAUUUCAACUUUAGUUAUCUACCUGCUGUAAAUAUGAAGGUGGUGAUGUAGACUGUCAUUAGUAUUUUUGUGAAAAAUGCAAUGAGUAGACCGUGUAUAAAAUUCCAGUAAAUUAGAUGAUUUAUUCGACAGUUCAAAAUUUGCAUGUGUGAAAUGAAGGGCGGAAAGUCUUGCUGCCAUAUUAUGUAAA